ACGGGGGGGGGCUAGCGUUGUUCGGAAUCACUGGGCGUAAGGGGCUCGUAGGCGGCCAUCUUAGUCAGACGUGAAAUCCCUCGGCUUAACCGGGGAACUGCGUCUGAUACUGGAUGGCUCGAAUCCGGGAGAGGGAUGCGGAAUUCCAGGUGUAGCGGUGAAAUGCGUAGAUAUCUGGAGGAACACCGGUGGCGAAGGCGGCAUCCUGGACCGGUAUUGACGCUGAUGAGCGAAAGCCAGGGGAGCAAAC
RNAcentral lists this ribosomal RNA (250 nucleotides) under uncultured bacterium. Its description in RNAcentral is "partial 16S ribosomal RNA". It matches the Rfam family "Bacterial small subunit ribosomal RNA", at positions 525 to 773 of the family's 1533-position model. The record is from RNAcentral.